UCCAGGAUGGCCGAGUGGUUAAGGCGUUGGACUUAAGUUCCAAUGUACGAAUGUACGCGUGGGUUCGAACCCCACUCCUGGUA
Nematostella vectensis (starlet sea anemone) is the source of this 83-nucleotide non-coding RNA. The record is from Rfam. Lineage: Eukaryota; Metazoa; Cnidaria; Anthozoa; Actiniaria; Edwardsiidae.